CAUACACAAUGUAAGUUCUAAAUAUUAUUAAAAGUGCAUCUUUUAUUUUUUCAACAAUCACAGAGAUACAACAUAAAUUAUGAUGAUAUAAAACAACAACACCGAUAUCCAAGUCGAAAAACACAUUGUCCACCUUUUGAUUCCUAUUUUGAUGCACUCUGUAGAACAAUUUGGAAAACAUCUACCUAUGCAACAAACUCCUCGUACUUCGUCACUCCCAAAAGACACAUUACACUUUGUCUAAUGUAACACUUUCUGAAUCAAACAAAGAAUACAAUAUUCAUUUUAUAUUAGGAAGUUAUUUAUCUUAAAAAUAUAUAUUGUAAAAGAGAGAUAAACUAUUCCUCUUACCAGAAAUCAAAAUUAUAUUCAAGCAUAAAAACAACCAAAAGAAAAUACGAUUGAUAACUUUGAGAAGUCAUUGUUUGGAUUUCACCUUAUGUGUUGUUUACUUGUUCUUGCAAAACUAACAUCACUUCCAAUAUAAAUAGACUGAAAUUUGUUUAAAUGGUAAAAAUACUAAUAUUUUAUUCUAUAAAUUUCUUAUAAAAAUAUUUUUGUUUUUGUUUUUAUAUUCCUAUACUUUCCAUUCAUUUUGUUCUUUUAUCUCUUUAUUUUAUUUUAUUUAACACUUUAUCUUUUAUUCGAGUUUUAUUUUCAAAGUUAAAAAGUAAAAGUAUUAAAUUGAAUAAAAACAAACAAAUGACCAAAAAUGAAAUUUAUUUAAAUGGUCAUAAAAUAUAAUAUUGUAUUUUAUAAAUUUCCUUAUAAAAACAUUUUUGUUUUUAUUUUAUAAUUAUUAUAAAAUUUUAUAUAUAUUAAAAUGAAGAAAAAAUGUUUUUGUUUUUUAUAUAUAUUCUAUAAUGUCAAUUUGUUCGUUUAUCUCUUAUUUAUUGUUUCUAACACUUUAGCUUUAUUCUAGUUUUUUUUUCAAAGUUAAAAUUAAAAGUAUUAAAUUGAAUAAAAAUAAACAAAUGACCAAAAAUGAAAAUUAGAUAAAUGACAAAGUAUGACAAAUAUUUUAACCUAAUAAAAAAUAUAAAUGAAAUUUAUAUAUGAUUUGUAAUAAUCCGUGUAAUAUAUAUCUAGAAUAAUAUCAUACAAGUGUUAAUUUUUUGAACAUAACAUAAUAUAUUUACCUUACCUCCAACCUAUUUAAUCAAUUCUCAUUAAAGAUGGAAAUACGCCAUGUCAGCUUACAAUGAGUUAUAUUCUGGUUUAUUUAAAAUACUUUUUAUCAGAUUUAUUUAAUAAAAAUAUUAGAUCUUUUUUAAAAGUAUAUUAAUUAAAUAAUUAAAUUUAUGUUAUUAACAAAAAAUCUAUAAAACUAUUUUAUCCUCGUGGAUGUAUGAUUCAAUAAAUUUUUUUGUAUAGAAUCGAACCAACCUAGCCAACCCAAAUUUCAUUGAUUUGAUUUGUUUGAUUUUAUUUUUAAAUAUCAACAAAACCAAACCGAAUAAUACAUUUUUUCUUGCGGAUUAAAUGACUUUUAGUGCCAAAACUACUCAAACCUACCAACACCUUACUUACGCUACAAAAAAUCCAUCAUAUAUAAAAAUGACCUAAACAUAGAUUUAAUACUAUUUUAAAAUGAAUGAUUUUAUUGGUAAAAAAAUAUGUACUUUCUUGUCUUAUCUAAAAAAAUUAUUUAAAAGUCUAUUUACAUUAUAUUUAUUUAUAUUAUAUAUAUAUAUAUAUAUAUAAUAUAUAUAUAUAUAUAUAUAUAUAUAUAUUAUAUAUAUAUAUAUAUAUAUAGAUAAAUUAUAUAUAAUAUAUAAAUAUAUAUAUAUAUAACAAAUAGACUAAAUAAUAUAUAAUAUAUUUUUUUAUUUAUGUAAAAAAAAGAAAAAUAUAUUAUUUAAAUUUUUUAAUGUAGAAUAGAUUAUUAAUAAAUUUUUAUAUAAGACAAAAAAAUACAUAAUAAAUUAUAGGUCAGAUUUAAACUUUAAAAAUGUAUUCAACCCCAUAUUUAGAUUUGACCUAAUCUAUUCUCACCGCGGUAGAACAUAUAUAUAUUUUAAACUGUUUUUAUUGAUAAUGAAGUUUAGUGCUUCUCCAAUAACAUACAUAGUCAUUCCUUUAAAGUAGAGUAUGCUUGCUUCAAACGAUUCUAGUCUUCAGAGCUUUGCUGAACUUUGUAUUUCACGUAAGCUUAGGUUCAACAUCUGAGAGACUUGAGUAGAAUCAUCAGAGUCUAAAAGAUUGGUUUUGAUACUUCAGAUUCAUAACAAUUUGGCUUCCCUUUAAUGAAUCUUCUAAGUGAUUGACUUGAUUUAAAUCAAGGGUAAUGUUUUUUGAUCCUGCACACUAGAAUAGCCACUAGUAAACUCUAUUGUUUUUUUAAAUACCUUGUUAUCAUAAAAAAAAUUAUGAGCUUCAACAAAUCUUGUUCUAAAAUAGAUUAAAACCUAAGUACUAGGAAAAGUACAUCUAACCCCCAACGAAAGAGAAAAUUAACUAUGCUUACUCAUUGUAACUUUAUAAUCAAGCCCUAGAAGUAGGGUCGAUCCUAGGCAAGUGAAACAAGCGCUACAACACAGGGUCUCAAAUUUUGGAAGACCCCAAAUUUUGAAAGGUCCAAUUUUUCCCAUAAAUAUUAAUAGAGAUAAAAAAUGCUAUAAAAAACCCAAUAAAUCAAAAAAUUCUAUGAUAAAAACCCAAUACAUACAAAAAUUGAAAUUCAUCAAAACUCAAAAUAAUUAUAACUAAAUUAAUUUUUGGUUAAUACAUAAUUGUAUUUUUGGUAUCUUUUUAAUUAUUAUAAUUGCAUUUUUUUUAGUUUGGGCUCAUUUUUAAAAUUAGAAUGGGGCCUCCGAGAUGAUUGGGUCAACCAUGCCUAGAAGAAAGAAGUUGAACAACAUAUCUUGAUUAUUCCACGAACAACACUUAUGCCAUCAAUCUUACUCUUUUUUUUUCUAUUGUUGUGGUUUGUGUGAGCAUAUAAUUUCUCUAGGAACUACCUCGAAUCCCCUGAUAUAUCUCAAAUGAUCUGCUUGGAACCCCUAUUUAUGGGUUUGAAAGGUUAGGCUCAUCAAGCGCACCUUCCAAGCUCGCUUAGUGUGCCUACAUUAUUCAUGUCUAGGUCAUUCUAGCUCAAAUGUAACUUGCCUUGCCGCCUUAACUCGCUAAGCAAAUCACCCACACUCACUUAGCCACCAGGCCCUUCCUUCACCUUGAAGUAACUCAAACCUAAUGUCAUGAACCUCAUUUACUCCCUAACUGCGUCUGUGUUCUUAGCUUAGCAAGGUUGGUACAUUUGCUUGCUUAUCGCGCCUAUGCUCUUGGCUUAGUGAGUCUUGUUAUGUUGGGAAAGUACUUUAGCUUGGUCGUUGUGUUGCUUUGGUGACUUCUUUAUCAUUUUUACCUGUUUUUAAUCAAUACAUGCUUAAAAGGUCCAAACAAGCGUUUUUUUAUCAAUUUUCAUUGAUAAAUUAGGGUUUUAUUACUUGUAAAAUAAGAUAAUAAUUGCAUACAUAUUUAACAUAUUUUUAGCAUUUAUCACACCGAGAUAAGAAAUUUAACUUAUAAACAAAUGUUUAAGUUAAGUGUUAAGCUCAGUAAAGAUAAUGAGAAAUUAAAAAAGAGCUUAAUCAAUUGUAAAGAGUAUAUUAAAUUUCUAAAAAAUAGCAAUUAUAUUCUUGGUGAAACAAUAACUAAUAUUAUAAAUGAAUCUUCAAAAUCGAAAAAAUGUGAAACUUGUGAGUUCUUAAGAAAUGAAGUAGCCAAAUUGUAUGAAACAAAAAUCAAUUUACACAAUAAAAUUCUUCUAGAAUCAUUUACUUUUUUUUUACCAAUAGAAUCAUUCAUUUUUAAAAGAAUAUUAAAUCUAUGUUUAGGUCAUUUUUAUAUAUGAUGAAUUUUUUGUAGUGAAACCAAGGGUGUUUGUAGAUUUUUAUGCUAAAAGUGAUUCAAACUACAAGAGAAAAAAUGUAUUAUUCAGUUUGGUUUGGUUUGGUUGACAUUUAAAAAUAAAACUAAACCAAAUCAAAUCAAUGAAAUUUGGGUUGGCUUGGUGGUUCGGUUAUAUAUAAAAAAAUUAUUGAGUCAUAUAUACACAAUGAAUGUUGGUGCAAAGGUAGAAUAAAUGAAGAAUGGAAAUAUUCUAUUCAGAGAAUGACGGCUACAAAACAUGAUAAAAGUUACAAUGAUUGUCACCCUAUUUAUAAGCUAAAACUAGGGUUACUAGAAUAGGAUAAAAUACUAAAAUACCCUCUAACAAACUUAAGGGCUAAGAAAAAUAGUAUAAUUAAAUAUGAAUUACUUCUAAUACCAUCCCUUAAUUCAUAUUCCAUCAAAACUUGUAACACCAAUUCCAUCCCUUAAUCUGAGAAAUUGAUCAGUCUUGAUAGCUUUCGUCAGAACAUCUGCCAACUGUUUCUGAGUGCUGCAGUGUACAACUUCUAACACUCCCCUCUGAACUUGAUGUCUCAGAAAAUGAUACUUGGUCUCAAUGUGCUUGCUUCUCCCAUGCAACACUGGGUUUCUGGCAAGAUUGAUUGCAGACUUGUUGUCAAUCAUCAGCUUCAGAGGUUUGUUUACUUUAAUCUUCAGAUCCUGCAAUAGAUUCAGAAUCCACACAGCUUGGCAUGCAGUAACAGCACCUGCAAUGUAUUCAGCUUCACAAGUUGACAACGCCACAACAGGUUGCUUCUUGGAACACCAAGAAAUGGGACCUCCCAGAAAUUUGAAUAAGUACCCAGACGUACUUCUUCUGUCAACUCUGUCUCCACACCAAUCAGAAUCUGAAUAACUCAGAAGUUCUGACUCAUCCUUUCUUCCAGAAGGAAAUAAUACUCCAUACUUCAGAGUUCCCUUGAUAUACCUCAGAAUCCUGACAGCAGCUUGGUAAUGGGACCACUUAGGUUUACUCAUGAACCUACUAACCAUCCCAACUGAAUAGCAAAUAUCAGGUCUGGUAUUGCACAAAUACCUCAGAGAACCAACCAACUGUUUGAAGGUUGUAGCGUCCACAUCCUUUCCAUCAGAGUCAGAAUCCAGUUUCUGAUUUGUAUCAGAAGGUGUGACAGCAAUCUUACAAUUCUUCAGAUUAAAUCUCUUCAGAAGUUCUAAUUCAUACUUGAGCUGAUGCAAAAUAAUACCUUUCUCAGAGUAUCUGAAUUCCAUCCCUAGAAAGUAUGUCAUUUUGCCUAGAUCAGUCAUUUCGAAUUCAUUCAUCAGAACUUUCUUGAACUUGGCUAUCUCCUGUUCAGAACUUCCAGUCAGCAGUAUAUCAUCAACAUAUAAACAUACCAGAGUCAUAUUUCCUUCAGAAGUAUGCUGAACAUAGACACCGUACUCCAUCUCACAUUUCUGAAAGCCUUGCUUCUUGAAAAAUGAAUCAAUCUUCUGAUUCCAAGCUCUGGGCGCUUGUUUCAAUCCAUAUAGAGCUUUGUAUAAUCUGUACACCAUCCCUUCCUGAUUCUUUUUCACAAAUCCAGGAGGUUGUGACACGUAAACUUCUUCUUCUAAUGGACCGUUCAGAAAUGCAGAUUUUACAUCUAAAUGCAUCAGAGGCCAAUUCCUGUUAGCAGCUAUUGCAAUCACCAUUCUGAUUGUUUCAUGUCUUGCUACAGGUGCAAACACUUCAGAGUAAUCCAGCCCAGGUUUCUGUAGAAAUCCUCUGGCUACCAACCUUGCUUUAUGUUUGCCAAUUGAACCAUCUGGCUUUAACUUCUGCUUGAAAACCCAUCUGACGCUGAUGGCUUUCUUGUCUUUUGGAAGUUCUGUCAGCUUCCAAGUCUCGUUUCUCUCUAUAGCAUCAAGUUCUUCUUUCAUGGCCUUCAGCCAGAGCUUCUGCUUAAGAGCCUCUUCUGUACUUAUGGGUUCAGAGUCUACUAACAUGGCACACUGAAUAACUUCUCCUUCAGAGUAUACUUCAGUGUCUUGCAGCAUGUCAAAUUCUGCAUAUCUUCUGGGGAUGUUUCUGAUUCUUUGUGGUCUCUGAACUUGUUCAGAGUCUUGAGCUUCAGAGUUUCUAGCUUCAGGUGGUUGAUUUCCUCCAGAGCUUUGACCAUCUUCAGGGUCUGGCAUAUUUCCAGAGUCUGAAUUGCCACCAGAAUCUGGAUUACCAUCAGAGUCUGGGUCAUUAGAGUCUGGAUCAUCAGAGUCACCUUCAUCUUCUGAGUCUUCUCCAGAGUCAGAAUCACUAUCAGAAAGAGAGAUAAGAGUCAGAAUCCCACUAUCAGAAUCAGAAUCAACGUCAAAGUUUACUCACACUUUCAGAAAUCUUAACCUGACCUUCUUCAGAAGUUCAACCAUCAAGAAUCAGAUGAGAACUUAAUCCCAAUUCCAACUUCUGAAUUCCCUUCACAAUCACAUCCCUCUGCUUGAGAAUUCAUUUAAUUGGUUUUUGGACAAUAGAGCUUGUAUGGCACCUGACUGUGGUCCUCAUCAGAAAUCAACUCAUUUGCUUCUCUAUCAUCCAUCCCUUCUGUCUUUCUGGCUUCUUGGAACAUUGUUUUAUAGCAAACAGAACCAAAACACUUCAGAUGACUAACACUUUGCUUAUCCUCCUGUCCACUCUGUAUUGGACUAUUUGUCUCAACUUCUCGUAGGGACAUCGUUAGUUACAUAUUGUGGGCGGUGGCACAAAGCUUUUCCCCUGACUUCUGAGAAGCUUGCUUCUCCUUUAGCAUGCUUCUCAACUAUAUCAAGCAAAGUGCGGUUUCUUCUUUCAGCAAGACCAUUGUGUUGAGGGGUAUAAGGAGCAGUAACUCAUGCCAAUUCCAUUCUCCUCACAGAACUUCUGGACCUCUUGGAGUUAUACUCACCUCCACCGUCAGUUCUAAGAAUCUUCAACUUCUUACCACACUCUGAUUCUCAGCCCUUCAUUCUGAACUUCUUGAAUUCAUCAAAACACUCGUGUUUAUAAAACUUAAUAUGGAUACCCAUGUCAUUCUUGUGAAUUAAUUAACAAAUAACACAAAGUAUUUAUUCCCUCCAAUCGAGUACUGGAAAGUGGACCACAAACUCAGAAUGUACAACUCCCAAGGCAUGUUUGCUCUUGGAGCGAAUUUCUGACGCAAAUGCAAUCGUGGUUGUUUUCGCUUCCAUGAACUUUGCAUGAUUUUUCAGGCUUCUAAUUGCAGGAAUUCAUGUACCAACUUCUUUGAAUUCAGAUGUUUUUAAGCUUCUGAAUUCAAAUGACCAAAUCUUCUGUGCCAACAACUCACUCUCCUUCUCAGCAUUGUUGCACUAAGACAUUCUGAGUCUGCAGUUCUGACAUUCACCUUGAAUGUUCUAUUCUCUUCCCUGUUCUGACUCCAUACAUCAACUUCCUGAUUGCAGUCAUACAGCUUCAGAAGAUGGUCCUUCAUGGUAACUGAAAACCUUUCUCAAUUAAUUGUCCACACUCAUCAGAUUGCUUCUGAUGCCAGGUAAUACCACACGUUCUGAAUCAAUGUUGUUUUCCCAUUGUUCAGAAUCACUCUGACAUUUCCCAUACCUUCUGCGAUUAAGAUAUUUUCAUCAAGCACAUCUGAUCUUUGUCCCUUUCGAGAUCAAAGUCAACCAGCCCAUUUCUUUUGCCAUAGAUGUUGAAUAGCCAGUGUCCAUAUACCCACCAGUCUAUCAGAUCCAUAUCACCAAGUUCAGACGGCAUCAAUAGCACAGAUUCGUCAUCAGAACAUCUGGCUAUAUUUGCUUCUUCUGAUUUCUCUCCUUGUUUGACCAAAGUCUCUAGCAAAGUGACCCAAACUUCUUACAAAGUAACAUUGGAUCUUCUUCUUGUCAUACUUCUCUUUCCCUCUGAGCAUUCUUUUGUCUAUCAGAGGUUGAGCUUCUGACUUCUGACACCAUCAGAUCUUCUCUGGCUUCUGACUGCUUCUGUACCUCCUAUCAGAAGUUGCUUUCAGAGCCUGCUGCUCUACUAUUCCUUUCCAGAAGUUCUCUCAAGCAAACGCAACUCUUGCGCUUCUAGACUACUCUGCCAGCUCUUCAAUUCUCAUGGUGCUCAGAUCUUUGAAUGUUCUAUUGCUACAUAUGUAAAUCAAAUUGAGAGGUAAGGGAUCUCAAUCCUUCUCCAUGAUUGUUUCUUCAGAAAGAGUCUCCACACGCUUUCAUCUCAUUAGUGAUCAGAAUCACUCUGGAGAUGUAUUCAGAAACUUUCUCAUUAUUCUUCAUGUUGAGAUUCUCAUAUUGUUUUCUCAAGGACUAAAGCUCACCUUCUUCACUGAUGCGUCACCACCAUAACAUCUAACCAGGGUGUCCACGCAACCUUUGCUGUCGUUGAAUCUGCAAUCUCUCAAACACAUUUACAUCAACACAUUGAUGAAUGAAGAACCAUGCUUUUCUGAUCCUUCUUCCUUACUUCCUUCUGCGCGUUUUUCUGUUCAUCGUCCGCAUCUGCUGCAUCCUGGAAACAAUAACCAUCAGUGCAAGAUCUAGAACAUCUGGAGCACGAACAGUACACGCAUUUGGAUCAUCCAACGAUUCCAGUUUUUACCGUCAAUACUGGAAGUUUGGUGUUCAUGUUGCCGUUUCCGUUCAUCUUUCUACCUUGCACAGUACACUCAGAUUUCUCACACCAGUGUUUCCCAACCCACAGAAUUAAAUUCUGAUCAGAUUUGUUCAAGAUUCAACACAAAUCUAAGAAUCAAAAUCAACACACAAGACCUCACGUUCACAUCGUGUUUCCCCGUGUUUUCCCAAUGAAUCCGAACCGGAGCUCUAGAUACCAAUGUUGGUGCAAAGGUAGAAAUAAAUGAAGAAUGAAAAUAUUCUAUUCAGAGAAUGACGGCUACAAAACAUGAUAAAAGUUACANUCACGAAAUUAGUCCAGGCACAUACACUAUUUGAUAAGGCGAUAGGAAUUUCAACACGAUGUCAACAACUUCCAACUAUAAAUCAGGCUCAGAUUCUUUAACUUGCGGUGCUUAUUCAGUGCAAUAGUUCCUAACACACAUCAGAUAAGUCGAUUGAAGAUUUAUCAUUUACAUGCUGAUUCCUUCCAAUCAUCUGCUGCUGAUUCAAUUGUUAUUGCGAAGGCUUUUUGGACAAUUGAAUGCCUUGUUCAAAUGCCCACCUUUCGGUAUUCUAAUCAUUAAGUUAGAGAUACAUAGGAACCUUCCAGAAAUGCAUCAUUUUGGCUGUCUACAUUCCUGAGAAUCUCUGUGUUCCUUGCCUUAUCGAGAUUUCCCUAUUGCGAAACCUCUUGUUGUAUUAGAACAGAACCAACACUUCGAGUCAUGACUAGACACUUUGUUAUUCUGUCCCUUCUGAAUUGGAAUAUUUCCUUAAUUCUUGAUUAGAACGUUGAGUAGCAAUUUCAAAUCGUCGGUCCUGGCUUGUAUGGGCUUGGCAUCUUCUCUGCAGCGAUUCAUUAUGUGAUUGAGGUACAUAUGUUGCUGUAGGUAGCGUGGCCUGACAUGUCUUGCCCGGAGAGCUUUGAUGGAAGUUCUCCUUCGUUUAGGCUUUUAUGGCUUUUUCACUAUCAGCAAGGAUCGUUAUGUGCGGGUUUUCUUCUUUCAGCAAGCAUGUGUUUGAGGUGGUGAUUAAGAGCAAGAGUCCUCAUGUCAAUUCCUUUCUCCGGGGACUUUCUGCGUAAUCUCUUUGGUGUGAGGUGACUAUGCCCUAUUGACGUCAGUUUCUAGAAUCUUAACUUCUUGACCACACCUACUGAUCUAGACUUUCAUUUCUGCAUUGCAUGUGAGAUUUUCAUCAAUAACCCACCUCGUGGUUUUAAUGUAAUUUAACGGGAUGUUCUGAUGCUAUGGGGAUACCCAUGGUCAUCUUGUUGAAUUCAAUUAACAACAAUAACACAGCAGGCUUUUUUCAUAGUUGUCUUUCCCUCAACUCGGAGAUGAGUACAUUGGAUCAAAAUGAUGGACACAAAUAGAAUGUAAAUCCAGGGCCAUGAUUUGCAUCUUGGGCAUUUUCUGCAGCAUUUCUGCGCAAAUGCAAUCGUGGUUGUUUCCUUCAUGAACUGAUUGAUUUCAGGCUCUUAUGCAGAAUUCAUGUUUGUAACAAAACUUGUCUCUGAAUUUGAGUGUUUUUCAGCUCUGAAUUCCAAAAAUGAUCCAAAUCUUCUGUGCCAACGUCCUUCCUUCUAACUUGUUGCACUAACGAAUUCAUGAGGUCUGAUUGAUGCUGCAGUUAUAUGAAAUUCACCUUGAAUGUGUCUAUUCAUAUGAAGAACCUUCCUUUCUGACUAAGCACCAAAAUAAUAUUAAUGGAACAUUGUCUCUACUCUUGCGUACAUACAUUGGCUUCGAAAAGAAUGAUUCUUCUGAACUGAAACCUUCGAUCAAUAUUGUUCCACACUCAUUAGAUUGUUUGAUGCCAGAAUUACCACGACGAAGAAAGUUUUCUGACAUCAAUGUGAUUGUUUCCACAUUUGUUUUCAGAACCCUAAUGACUUUCCCUACCUUCUGCAUUAAGAUAUUGUAUCUGCACCUCUGAUGUUCUCUUUUUCAGAGUCGGAAAGUCACCAGCCCAUUAUGAAAUUUUUCUAAGUGAAGAAUCUGUGAUUGUAGAAAAAUAGCAGUGAUGUGGGUUGAUUUAUACAACGUCUGUCAGUCGGUCUCUUAUUUUACAGAUCUUUGGGAGGCAUCAUGAAUCUAUGCACACAGAUUUUCGUUAGUUCACUUUCAGAACACUCACUAUGAGUUACUAUAUUCUGAACUUUCAUUUUCUUGAUUUUCUCUCUGUUGAACAUGCAGAGCGUACUACAAGUGAGAGACGAGAAUCUUCUCUUGUCAUAACUUACUGGCUUUUGUCUAUCGAGGUUGAUGCUUUCUAGAUGUCUCGACCACUCAGAUUUCUCCUGGCUCUGACUGCUUCUGAUCUUCUAUCGUGUAAAGGGAUUGCAUUUCAAAGAGACAAUGCUGCUCUCUUCUUUCAGAACGCUGCUCAGUCAUACGCAACUCCUUGUCGCUUUAGACACUCUGCGCUUUCAAUUUCAUGUGUCAGAAUCUUUGGAAUCUAUGGGUGUCCAUAUGUAAUCAUGAGAGGAAGGUGAUUCAUGUUUCUCGUCUCGCAAGGACGGGAAGGUUUCCACAGUAUUCAAUUAAGUGUCGAAUGGGUAUAUCAGCAAACUUAUUUGUCUCAUUUGAUGUUCUUUGUUAGGCAUUUCAUCUAACAUGUUUUCGGACUAAGGGCCUAUGCAGCACUGCAUUCGUUGCUACGUUAGUGCUGAUGUUAGCCAAUUCCCUUAACAAUCUUUGUCACUCGACCGACAUUCUAAUUAACUUCAGGGCAAUAUGUAUGAAUGUUAGGUGUCAUCGAACGCAAAUACCUUUUGCUCAAUGUUUUAAGCUUUGAUAAUUGAGAUCUGCCAUGCUUGUCCUGCUCAAAAUAUCACACAAUGUAUUUAUUGCAAUCGUAUCUGACUGAAUUGAGACAUUGCAUUUGAUGGGCAUGAUUAUGACAGAUUAUGAAAUUAUGAGGUCAAGAAAGACGAUUUGUAAUGCUCAUAAUGGCUCACCUCAUUUUGAUUUUUGGCAGCAUCUUAUGGUUUUGUAAAGUUUAUGCAUCUGGUUUGAGUCUUUCAGAUUAGAUUACUGGCCGUGUCGUUGUUGAUCAUUAUCUGUCCUGUUCCAACACAAAUGAGAUUCUAAUGAUUCUUGUGACUUUCUUGAAUGAAGGAUACAGCAGAGUAUCUUCAACUAUCUCAUGUUCAACAAAUUUUUCAUUUGAGUUAUCUUGGUGAAGCCUGGUAACUGUGGAGGAGAAACCUUAUCCAUCUUUAGGCAAUUCAAUUACUAGCUAGGUAACCUUAUUUUUUUGUUGAAAGCUUCUUCAUCUGACCUCAAAUUCUUCGCUAUGUGGAUGUUUGAAAUGUCAAUCCGGAAGAUUGUUUUGAACAACAUAGGAAUAUACGAACGUCGCUUUCUCUCACUUUUCCACUACCGCGAAAUUCAACAGUUGUACUGGAGUUGGACUGGCUGAGUUUCAGUUGACUGAGAUGGCCUUGAUGAGAUUCACUUACCACUUGAGAUUUUGAUUCAAAUUGUGUUGCAUGGCUCAUUGACUCUUAAUGAUGAUAUGGUGCCAAAUUUCAAGAAUGGCACUUAUGUCAAUGAUGCCGUUUUGAUGUUUGACUUAGAUUGUUCAUCGUGCCAGUAACAAGGUUAGAUGAAUAUUUGUCUUUUGUUAGUGAACAAUGAAAGCAUGUAUAACAACAGAAAAUGCUUGCGUGUCAGAACACUCUCAAAAGAUAACACCAGGGAAUGGAGCAACAGUCAGUGCAAUACGAUCCUUGAGGAGCAUGAAUGAUCAUGAGUUAUGUGUAUUGUCACGGAGAUCUUUAGGGACAAAUUCGGUGUUUGAGCAGUUUAACUGCCUAUUCUAGGUAGUUCUAGUGCCAGGGAGAAAAGUUGUAAGUAUCAGUAGAUCGUUCAUCUUGUGAUCGCGUGUUGUGAUAUGAGAAAGAGAUGGGGUAAUUAAAUAGUUGAUUAAUGAGAGCAUUAUUUUUGGUCCCUCAGGAGACCUUAUAGUCUUUUGUGCGUAACUGCUUUUAUGGCACUGCAAAGAGAAAACAAAUUGUGGGGACAUAUGGGUCCAAAGAGUAAGAAACACAUAAGAUCUUUUCGCUGCCACAGUGUUCGUCCCAACCGUUACACCACUAACCGAAUAAGGAUAAAUAGGCUUCUAACUAAGACUCUCCAAGAUGGGUUUGUGUUCCAUUGAAUUUGGGUUCAAUAAAAAGCAAACGAAAUAGAAGUGUACUAAGGACGGACUACGCAUAUGAACUAAUUAGGUCGAAGAAAAAACACAUAUGAACAGUGCCCUUCGCGUUUACUCGUGGGGAUAAAACGAUGAUUUGUGAUGGGCGACUCACUGGGACGUAGAGAUGAUUUUACACUGGGGAAAAGAUGAUGAUUUCAAAAGGAAGAAAUCCAUUGGAGAGACACAGCUGGCUCAAACUAUCCACAAGGUACUUCGAUUGAAAUCCGGCUGCGGCCUAGGAAUUCAAGCAGACCUCCCCAAUCGAAUAUGUCGCGCGAGAACCGGAAAGCUGUAAGGAAAUAAACAAAAAAUUUGCAUAUUGUUUGUGGGGAAACGCCGGAAUUACAGCAAAGGUAAUACAACGGAAAUCCACGGUGUGGCGAAAGGUCAACAUAGUGUACUUUACAGGAGAAGGAUCAAUGAAAGCGAACAAUGAAAGAAAUGAAUUUGGUGUACUCAAUUAGGGUGAAUGUAUAAAGCGUAAGAGAACAUCUCCGACGAACGAUUAGAAACAGUAUCUGUAAGUACCAAAGUUAAUGGCGUUAUACCUAAUGGUUCGGAGACUCAUCACUUUGUCUAAUCGACAUACAAUUUGCAGACUAAGGAGACCUGAAAAAGGUAGCGUAUCAAUACUACAGUGAAUCUGAUGAGAGUAUACGUAGGGGGAACCAAAGGUUUAAUAGCGGGUCCCAAUAAGACGAAUAUGCGCCGUCUAAAAUUAAGGCGCAUGUGGAUAUCAGGGAGGUAGUAUUAAUAGAGUACUGAUUAUAUAAGAUGCAAGUUGAGACCAAAGAGUGAAUUGGAUUACUUAUAAUUUUAAAUUAUUGACCAAAACAACUAUAGUCUUUCGAUCAUCUAAGUACAGCUAAUGAAACUGAAGAUUCUUGUCAUUAUUAAGUGAGCAUUUAAUGGCUUUUCUCGAAAUUGCACAAGGUUUUAGUUGGAUAAUACGAGAAAUGAAUGUCAUCUGUGAUGAAGUUAAUAGAAAACAAUUGCGAAAACAUUGACCAAUGCGGAUGCUUUAAAUGGAUAUCACUUAUUUAUAUUGCAAAUGUUGUAUCCGUUCAGAACUCUCAAAUAUUUAUCUUUAUUUGCUGGAAGAAUUAUAUAGCUCGAUUAAUAAGCAGGACAAACAUGAAUUGUAGAUCAUUUUCAUGAUGAUAAAUUUGAUGUAUAUAUUGUGGAUAUAUUUUCUAAGUUGCAAGUACAUGUCGCCCUUACGUGGUGACUGUGCUAGUAAUUUCUGAAAUAUUAUAAUAAUGAAUUUGUCUAGAUAUUCUUUAUCUAUCCCAAAUAUUAGCGUUAAAUUGAUAUUUGCCAAUAACUCAUCUAUACAAUAUAUAGAGUGCAGAAGGACUAUAAAGUAAAAGCAAGUUGACUUACAGGAAUUGAGUAGAAUUGCGGUUGAUUAAACUUUUUUUAAUUCCGCACCGCUUGGCUGUAUCCAAAAUGAACGAAGGAAACGUACAAUAUUAAUAACUAGGCCUGUGUAAAAAUAAAGUAGAGUAUGCGACGAUUUGCAAUUAACACUAAAAAGAAAUGAAUGCUAAGCAGUGUUUGAUGAAUAUAUAACAAGAACUAUCCAAUUCAUUCAAGGUAAUUUACUCUUUUUAGAUGAGAUGUUACUAAUAUGCUAUAUAUCGACAUUAUAACUGCCGUAUGUAGAGGUAAGAAUAUUAAUUUUUAAUAUCUGAUGCUCUUCAAUAUCCUUGUGUCAAGGGCUAAUAUAAACGUGAUGAGAGGUUUCAAUCUAUGGUAUUACUCGCUUAUGGAUCGGACCAUUUGGCCAAAGAUGAUCACAAACUGGUAUUCGAACUGAACUAGCUUUGGGUAGUUAUAAUUGACUAAGUUACGACAAAUAUCUCAGUGACAUCCGUUAUAAAUGUAUUUUUUUAUUUUUUUUUUCGAUUUAGUUCAGUUUCCAUCCGAAUAUUUUUUUUUUUUUGUUUUCUGGUUUUAUAGACGCAAUCUCUCGAUCGCAAAUUCACAAGCUUGUUAAAGGUUUUAAUAUGUGACCUACAAAUAUCACUUCGAUAUUUUUACCUCAAACGCCUGUUUUAUACGAAUAUUUUUCUUUCUACUUGGGUAGAAAUUUUUGCAACAAAGGACUCACAAAGAGUGUGAAGAGUAUAGUAUUCUUGACGACGUUGUCAGACGUGAAUAUAUACUCGAAAGGGAAGUACCCAAGACUCGAAUACAAACUAGAGGAAACUCCUCUAUACUAGUAGGUGUUUAAAUACAAAAACAUAUCUAAGAGCUAUAUAUAACGACUUAAAAGUGAUCGAAAAUUUAAAGUAGAUAAAUUGUCCAGUCACAAAAUUAUUAUAAUGAGAAAAGAGAGACAUGAUUAUCUCUAUCAUUUUUUUUUCCGAAGGACUUGUACAGUAAUCCACAUAAUAUAUUUUUUGGAGUUGCUCUUUGCAGUUUAAUUGAUAUACACUAAGCUUAGAAGCGUAGAAUUUGUGACCCUAUCAGUGUUAGUUCAUAGACCUCGUCUGGGGAGUAUUAAAACAAGUUUGACUUUUUAUUUUAAAAUCUAGUAAAUUAAUGCAAAAAUGUAUGUGCAUAAGCGUGAUCGAAUCGACUUUGUCGUCGUAGAAACUUCUUUACACUAGGCCAAAUUGAUGGUCCCAUGAUAGAUUAAUCUCAUUUGACAUUUUUUUACAUUGACUAAACUCUCAAAACAUCUAUUCAUAUCUUACAAUUUCUUCUAGGUAUUCUUAUCAUUGAGCAGCAACUAUUAUAUUCUUUGUUAAUUCAAUUUAUUGACUCAAUUUAUCAAUUUACAAUUAUUGUUUUAUUAAUUUACUUUUUUUAUUGUUUGAACAUAUUGCGCUGCGAAGAAAUUAAUUUUGAAUAUUUCUAAUUUUUAUAUCCUCUAACUUCUGGUAUUGUCAAACUUCAACCACUGUCUAUAUUUUUACUACGUACUUCUCUUGGAUACAAUGUGAUUUUUAUUUGAAAAAAAUUUUAUGAUAUAUUUUGUGUGUGUUGCCUAUACCUAUUAGAAGAGUUAAAACAACUAUCUUUUUGGAUCUUAACGAUUUUUUUAAUGUCAUUUAAAUUGAACAUGAGCAGAAUAUAUUUUCUAUGCUUCACCCGUCUAAUGUUAAUCAUGUCUCAUUAGGAGAUUGAUGGAUACACCCGCUCUGUCGGCUACACUCGCAUACUUGGGAUUGGUAUUUCACAAAUACUGCCGUGAGUCUUAUAUUUGAAUUGUAUAGUGCAUGUUAUAUCACAAAAAGUUUACUGUAUUCAAUAAUAAAUGUUUCAUUAUUUUUAAAUUAGUAUUUUCUUAAUAAUUAAUCCUUCUCGAUUUAUUAAAUAAUAUAGGUCAUAGUGUUUCAGUCGGUAUCUAUAGUAUAUAUCCAACAACCAGCUGGUUUAUAUAAUUGAUAUGGAUGACUAUAAUCAAUUAUACAUAUAAUUAUAUAAUAUAUUAAUACUAUUAUUAGUGAGCUAUUAUUAUUAUAUAUAUAUUAUAUUUUCAUACUUACUUAUAUAAUUGAUUAUAUUAGUAUAUAUAUAAGUAUAUAUAGUUCUUAUGAACAAGCAAGUUCAUAGUAUUUACAUAAUAGAGAUACUCCCUAUUUUAGAUUUUGAGUUUUUCUUCUCGAAGUAAGGCCCAAAAUUAGCCUAACUAACUCAGCUAAACAAUAUUUGACGUUAGUCUAACAUUACUGUCGAGAUACUCUUCGACAUUAAACACCUAGGUGAUUCGAUACUUCCUUACUUCUGCUGUCGAGGCAACUGCUUCGACACAAGAAUUUACAAUUCAACACACCACCUAAUUCAUUGUGUCUACGCUAUCUACAUUUAUCUUAGACCUUAAUAUUCUUAUACGAUGCAUGCACUCCUUUUGUCAUGAUGUCUACAAUCUGAAUUUCAGUUCUCUAGUGUUCCAAGUUCAGCCUUCGUUUUUGGUCAUAAUGCUAGCUCAUCGGAGAUAAGAGUGGAAUUACCGUCUCAUUUCGUGUCAUAGGUUGCUGUGGAUGCUUGCCAAACAACUUUAUUCCACAUUACUGAUGGGAUUCCAAAGGAGAGUACUUGCAAGCAUACGACAUGUCCAGAAGAGCGGGUACAAUUGCUAGGCAACAGGAACUAUCAAAAGUAAGGAACGUAAUCUCUUUCAGACAAAAUCAAUGAAACGCGAAUGAAGAGUGACAACUAAGAAGUAAUGCCAACUUCGCUCGAUGGAAUUAGAUGUAUUUUAAAGCAAGGAAUGCAACAACAAGUCGUAUACUCGGCGAAGAAUGGUGCGAAAAUUUAAGGUUGUUACGAAUGGCCGAUGCAGCCUGAGAUUAAAGCUGGAUGUGGGUCCCGCCGGUGGACCACGGCUUAAGAAACGCGUUUCUCUUAAAAUAUAACACCAAACGCAUGCUGGCCAUAAUAGACUCAGGGGGAUUAAUUAAAGAAAUUGCGGCUUAAGAACAGCGACAGCUAUAGUAACAACUGGGGGCUUUUAUUAUUCUUCUAUCUAAAUACAAAGCUACAAUCACCAAAGAUUAUUUGUGUGUAUUGGUCACCAAAACAGCACACACCGCAUAUCAUAAGGUUCGCUCUUUCUGUCAAGCUCGAACUGAUCCCUCAUAAAUGCAGUCAUACUCUAUCAUAGCAAUGAGAGAAGAGGAUAAUGACAAGGAUAGUUAAGGGCAUAGCAUAUUUACAUACCGGUUGAUUUUACUGAUGCUUUUUAACCUGGUUCAACAGGCAGGUUUGUUCUUUCAGCAUCAAGGAGAUUUUAUCCGCAUUUUAGAAUGAUAGGUUUUGAACUUUACUUGAUUUUGUAAGAAAUUUGGGUUGGUGGUUGUUUGAUGUUAAGUUCUUGCAAAUGAAGUCAUACUUUGAAAUGUGUGCGGAUCUUGAGUUGUUAGCAUUAGCAUUUAUCUGGCAUUCCAACGUUCGAGUUUGCGAUGAGAGUCUGUGAGGAAACGAGCAGAAGUGUGUUCAGCUGUGAUUUUGUGGGUGAAAUAGAUUUUGUUCCAAAAUGUUGUCAGUAGUGAAGGAAGCAAGAGGGGGCCAGCUUCGUAGACGAGUUUGGAGGGUUUGUCUCAGCAUUCUAUUUUUGUAAUGCAAUUGGAUUGAGGAGUGUUGAGAUUAUGUUGUAGAUCUGGCUAACGUCUGGUGGAUGGGGUGAGGUAAUGUAUAGAUUUUGGGGUAGACUUUUGGUACAUGGACAGAAAACAUUCUUUAUGAUUGCUGUUCGUGUUUAAGACUCACUAAUGGAAUGUAACAGUUUGACUUAAUAUGUAACAAAAUGACAGUUGCUAAUAGUUGGGCUAAGUGGAGAGUGGGGAAGGUGAGUUCGCUCAUGAAGAUGACUUGAUAACGAAUUAGAGCUUUGGGCAAUGCGUUUGCACCAUCGAACUCAAAUUGAUGUGGUUGCGUUUGUUUUUAGUCCAUCCAAGAUAGUCCGCCUUUCCUGUUUGCUGGCUACAAAACAUGAUAAAAGUUACAAUGAUUGUCACCCUAUUUAUAAGCUAAAACUAGGGUUACUAGAAUAGGAUAAAAUACUAAAAUACCCUCUAACAAACUUAAGGGCUAAGAAAAAUAGUAUAACUGAAUAUGAAUUACUUAUAAUAAUGACAACAUAGUUUUGUAUGUAUUCAUUUAUACAUUAUCAUAAAAUGAGUUUAUAAUUGUAAAAAUAAGUUUAUAAUUGGAUGCAUAAAUAUGAAAUGUGUCUUACAAUUUUAUCUUAUGUCUGAAGAGCAUUAUACACAAAAUUGUAUUCUUUAAUAAAUUUGAAAUGUUAUAUAUUGUAUAUUUAUAAGCAAGUACAUGUCUGUGACUAUGUAAUCCUGAUAAUAAUAUAAUUUUAUUUUUAUUAUCAAUAUUUUAUAUAUCAAAAAAUAAAAAAUAAUGUUAAUUAAACUUUUUUUAACCGUAUCUUAUCAAAAUGAACAAAUUAAAAAUAAAAGUAAAAAUAAAUAUAUGGCAAUUUCAUUUCAAAUAAAAAAUAAUAGUAUUUAUAAACAAAUAAUAUUUUAUUUUUUAGAUAAGUAAACUAAAAUUAAUAUCAUUAUAGUAAAUAUAUAAUGGUCUCUCAAAUUUUGUAAUAUAAUGAGGUUCAAUUUGGUUUUACUCGAUUUGCAAAAUACAAACUGUAAUUCGAACUGAACUACGUGGUUCUAUUAAAAAAUAUCUCAAACACAUCCGUAUAAAAUGUAAUUUUUUAUAGUUUUUUCGAUUUAGUUCAGUUUACUUAAUAGUUUUCUAUUAAGUCGAUUCGAUUUUAAAUUUACCUAACAAAAACACUAUUUUCUCCCGUAUUAAAUUUUAUAGAAUUUUGCAUACACCACUAACCAAUAAGGAAACUAAUUUAUAGAGGUGUUUAAAUCAAAAACAUAUCUAAACUAAAACCGUAAAGUGAUCGAAAAAUUUAAGAAUUGCACAAAAUCUAUUAUUAGAAAAAGUGUUUAUAUCAUUUUUCGAAAAUUGCUAAGUUCUAAUAUUAAUUUUGGAUUGAUUUUUGAGUUUAAUUGAAAUACACUAACAGUUUAAAAGGAUUUUACACUAUCAGUUAAUUAUAGACGUUGGAUAUUAAAACAAGUUUGACUUUUAUUUUAAAAAUCUAUAAACUAAUGCAAACGUAUGAUGGUGAUGAAUCGAUUGUGUAAAACUUUUUACACUGACAGUGCAUAGUGAUUAAUCUCUUGAUUUUUUAAACAUUGAACUAAAUUAAAAAUACAUAUUUCAUUUUUUUAUAUUCUUAAUAUGAGCAAAACAUAUUAUAUUUUAUUAUUCAUUAGUACUCAAAUUUCUCAAUACAAUUAUUAGUUUAAAUUAUUUUUACUAUUUUAUAUGUUUGAAACAUAUUUGAAGAAAUUAAUUUUGAAUUUCUAAAUUUUAAUAUAUUAAAUUUUAUAUUUGUCUUCAACCUUAAUAUUUUACAUCAUAUUUACAAUAUUAUUUUUAUUUGAAAAAAUUAUAAUAUGUAAAUUUGUUUGUCUAUAAACCCAUUAAAAAUAAACAACAUCUUUUUGGAUUAGAUUUUUUAAAUAGUCAUUUAAAAUUGAACAUGACAGAAUAUAUUUAUCCUUGCCUCCAACCUAUUUAAUCAAUUCUCAUUAGAGAUGGAAAUCCGCCAUGUCGGCUUACAGUUAGUUAUACUCUGAUUUAUUGAAAUUUAUGUUUAUCAAAUUUAUUUAAUAAAAAUGUUAGAUCUUUUUUAAAAUUAUAUUUAAUUAAAUAAUUAAAUUUAUGUUAUUAAUAAUAUAUAUAUAUAUAUAUAUAUAUAUAUAUAUAUAUAUAUAUAUAUAUAUAUAUAUAUAUAUAUAUAUAUAUAUAUAUAUAUAUAUAUAUAUAUAUANNNNNNNNNNNNNNNNNNNNNNNNNNNNNNNNNNNNNNNNNNNNNNNNNNNNNNNNNNNNNNNNNNNNNNNNNNNNNNNNNNNNNNNNNNNNNNNNNNNNNNNNNNNNNNNNNNNNNNNNNNNNNNNNNNNNNNNNNNNNNNNNNNNNNNNNNNNNNNNNNNNNNNNNNNNNNNNNNNNNNNNNNNNNNNNNNNNNNNNNNNNNNNNNNNNNNNNNNNNNNNNNNNNNNNNNNNNNNNNNNNNNNNNNNNNNNNNNNNNNNNNNNNNNNNNNNNNNNNNNNNNNNNNNNNNNNNNNNNNNNNNNNNNNNNNNNNNNNNNNNNNNNNNNNNNNNNNNNNNNNNNNNNNNNNNNNNNNNNNNNNNNNNNNNNNNNNNNNNNNNNNNNNNNNNNNNNNNNNNNNNNNNNNNNNNNNNNNNNNNNNNNNNNNNNNNNNNNNNNNNNNNNNNNNNNNNNNNNNNNNNNNNNNNNNNNNNNNNNNNNNNNNNNNNNNNNNNNNNNNNNNNNNNNNNNNNNNNNNNNNNNNNNNNNNNNNNNNNNNNNNNNNNNNNNNNNNNNNNNNNNNNNNNNNNNNNNNNNNNNNNNNNNAUAUAUAUAUAUAUAUAUAUAUAUAUAUAUAUAUAUAUAUAUAGAUUUUAUGAAAGCAAGUUCAAGUAUUUACAAUAAUAGAGAUUACUCCCUAUUUAUAGAUUUUGAGCUUACUUUCUUCUCAAGUAAGGCCCAAAAUUAGCCUAACUAACUCAGCUAAACAAAUCAUUGACGUUAAGUCUAACAUUACUGUCGAGAUACUCUUCGACAUUUAAACACCUAGGUGAUUCGAUACUUCCUUACUUCUGUCGAGCAACCUGCUUCGACACAAGGAAUUACAAUUCAACACACCACCUAAUUCAUUGUGUCUACGCUAUCUACAUUUAUCUUAGACCUUAACUUCUUAAACACUUCGAGAUGCACUCCUUUUGUCAUGAUGUCUACAAUCUGAUUUUCAGUUCUCUAGUGUUCCAAGUUCAGCUUCGCUUUUGCUACCUGCUCUCGAAGAUAAUGGAACCUCAUUUCGUUAUGCUUGCUUCGUCCAUGCGCUAUCGAAUUCUUCGCCAGAUUGAUAGCAUACAUGUUAUCAAUCUUCAUGGUAAUCGCUCCAUGAUUCAUCCAUGUAAUCUCUUCGACCAAAUUCAUCAUCCAAGUUGCUUUACAUGCACAAAGAGAAGCAACUAUGUACUCUACUUCACACGACGAAAGUGUCACUGUGUGUUCCUUUCUCAAACUCCAAGCAAUUGGUGCACCACCUGGCAUAAACACAUAGCCAGUUGUGGAUUUUCUAUCCUCAGCAUCACUACACCAACUUGAGUCAGUGUAUCCGACUAGCUUGCAUUUUUUCCUCAGCAGCUUCAGGAAAUAAAAUGCCAUAGUCUAUAGUUCCUUCCAGACACCUUAGUAUCCUCUUCGUCACUACUAGGUGUGAUACAUUUGGUUUCUACAUGAAUCUACUCACCAUACCUACAUUAUAUGCUAGAUCAAGCCUUGUGUGACAAAGGUAUCUAAGUGAUUCAAUGAGUCUUUUGUACUGCGUUGGAUCGACAUCAUCUUCAUAUGUGUCUUUCGACAGUGAAAUCUGGACUCAACUGGAGUCGAAGUUGGGUUGAAAUCUUACAUCUCAAAUCUUUUGAGUAUUUCACCUGCACAUCUUCUUUGGUGCAUCAUCAAACCUCUACCACUCUUGUAGAAUCUGAUGCCAAGGAAAUAUGAGAGAUUUCCCGAGUCUGACAUUUCAAACUCCUCACUUAGGUCAUGUUUGAAAUCUUCAAUCUCCCUCUUGCAACCUCCUGUUAUUAACAGGUCAUCGACAUAGAGACAUACUAUAAGCAAUUUACUAUUGCUUCUUCUUAUGUAUACUCCAUGCUCAGUUGUGCACUUCACAAAUUCCUUUUCUCUUAGAAAGCAAUCUAUCUUCUUGUUUCAAGCUCUUAGAGCUUGCUUAAGUCCAUACAGGGCUUCAUGCAGCCUGUAUACCUUGCUUUCUUUGCCAUGUUUCACAAACCUAGCUGGUUGUGCAACAUACACUUCUUCAUCUAUUGGGUCAUUCAGGAACGCAUAUUUCACAUCCAUCUGAUAUGUGUGCCAGUUGUUCAUGUUUUCUAGACCAACAACCAGCCUAAUUGUUUUAAUCCUAGCAACAGGUGCAAAAACUUCAUUGAAGUCGAUUCCUUCCUUCUGAAGAAAUCCUUUCGCCACAAGUCUUGCCUUGUGUCGAGUUACUUCACCUUUGGGAUUCAACUUCACCUUGUAUACCCACUUCACGUCGAUUUCCUUCUUGCCUUGAGGCAACUCGACAAGUGACCAUGUAUUAUUGUCUUAGAUGGACUUCAUUUCCUCAUUCAUUGCUUUCACCCAUAUUGAAUCCUUCAAUGCCUCAGCUAUAUUGACUGGUUCAACAUCUGCAUAGAAAGCAUAGUAUAUCAGUUCACCUUCGUCAUCAACCACAACACCUGAUGUAAUCACACAUUCUUGCAACCUUGCAGGCAUGUGUCUUGUUCUUGAGGUAUGCUUCUGCUUGCUUGACCUCUCACUUCUUCCUGUCGACCUUCUCUUUUGACUUCGCUUGCUAGUUCUUCAUAUAAGAUUCUCACUGAAUUCUUCUUUACAUUGUCAGUCCAAUCCCAUUCCUUAAGCUCAUCUAUGAUCAUGUCCCUUAUGAUCACUACUUGCUUGCUCACUGGGUCGAAUAACUUGUAACCUCCAGUCGAAUGAUAGCCUAUUAGGAUGAUCUGACUGAACUUGUCAUCAAGUUUUCUUCUCAAUUGAUCAGGCACAUUUCUAUAUGCUAUAGAUUCAAAUACCUUCAGAUGACUCAAGCUAGGCUUGACACUAAACCAAAAUUCUUCUGGUGUAACUCCUUCUAGCUUCUUUGUCGGACAUUUGUUCAAUAUGAAUGUUGCAGUCGACACAACUUCUCCUCAUAAUUCUUUGGGUAUAUACCUGCCUUUCAACAUACUUAUCACCAUGUUCAUGAUGGUUCUAUUUUUCCUUUCUCCCUAUCCAUUCUACUGCGUAGUGUAGGGUGGAACCACCUUGUGCACAAUCUCUUCUUUCUCACAUAGUUUAUCAAAUUCUUUUGAUACAUACUCUCCAUCAUCAUCAGUUCUCAGAAUAUUGAGCUUUCGACCAAUUUGUCUUUUGACCAUAGAUUUAAACUUGGCAAAUACCUUGAUCACUUCACUUUUCUUCUUGAUCAGGUAAGUCCUUAUUUUUUUACUGAAAUCAUCUAUGAAUAUGACAACGUAUAUGUUGUAACACCCAUUUUUCUACCCCAAAAUACUUAGCAUAUAAUCAGAGUGAAUAAACACGCAUAUAAAUAAAAGGGCGUCACAUCGACGUUUUCAAAAACUAAAAGCUUUCAAAAACCAAACAACUUUCAUCAUCAAAUAUACAAUACACCUGGUCAUUUAAAAUAACACAUUUCAAUUAUCAUGAUAUAUCAAGAAUAUGCGUUCGCAGCGGAAAUUAAUGAUAUCCAUGUAUUUCAUAAAAUGAUUCAUGUCCCAUACCAUCAUCUCUCAAUAAUCUCCUCAAGAUAAAAUAAAACCAUAUCCAGAAUAUUUGGCACUAUGGCCUCUCAAACAGCAAAUUGCAAUUAAACAUGUUCACAAGUAAUAACGUAAUACCUGUCCAAAUAAGACAUAAGUUCAAUACUACUAUCUACCCGUGUUACAUGACCAGAGCAUUGACUCAUUACCUAGUCUCUAAACUAAAACACGUAAACUCUCCGGCUAAAUCUCGAGUGAGCUACCGUCCACUUACUUCAGCAAUACUACUCUGGAGUAUCUGCACGAUACCCAUGUAAAGGCAACAUUCAAACAGAAGGUUGAGAAUUCAAAUCAUUAUGAAGAAGUAUAAUAAGGCACAAUGAUUAAAUCAACAAUUAAAGGAAUUCAUCACACUUCGUAUAACCAUGUAAAUAAUACUAACCAACAUUUAUUUCACAUGUUUCCAACAUCCAUCAAAACGCAAGGAGUAUAAUAUUAAAAUCCAAUACUAUAUUCCCAAAUAUACACAUAACUACAAUUAUCACAUAAUCACAUAUUUUUGUCAAAUUAGGUAUCCAAAUAUCACCAAAUUCAAUUACCAUAUCUCAUACACCCUUCACAAUCACAUCAAUGCAUACACUCAAUUAUCACAUAACUCUAAUGUGACUCGAUGCAAGACAUGUGACUCUAUGCAUGUGGUACCGCAAUGUGAACCCAACGUUUCACCGUUUUCCGAUCCAAUAUCUAGAAUCCAAGCCACGCUUCCGAUCAAGAAAAGAUCAAAGCCACUACGUCUAUUUCCAAUUAAGGAUCAACGUCUGCUACGCCUAUUUCCAUUCAAGGAUCAACGUCUAUUACCAUGUGAACCCACAGUUUCACCGCUUCCACCAUGAAGUCGACCAUGCCAUGAAUGAAUGUACAAAUACCNCGUUGGAUCGACAUCAUCUUCAUAUGUGUCUUUCGACAGUGAAAUCUGGACUGCAAUGGAGGUCGAAGUUGGCUUGAAAUCUUCAUCUCAAACUUUUGAGUAUUUCACCUGCACAUCUUUUGGUGCAUCAUCAAACCUCUACCACUCUUGUAGAAUCUGAUGCCAAGGAAAUAUGAGAGAUUUCCCGAGUCUGACAUUUCAAAUCCUCAUUAGGUCAUGUUUGAAUCUUCAAAUCUCCCUCUUGCAACCUCUGUUAUUAACAGGUCAUCGACAUAGAGACAUACUAUAAGCAAUUACUAUUGCUUCUUCUUAUGUAUACUCCAUGCUCAGUUGUGCCACUUCACAAAUUCCUUUUCUCUUAGAAAGCAAUCUAUCUUCUUGUUUCAAGCUCUAGAGCUUGCUUAAGUCCAUACAGGGCUUCAUGCAGCCUGUAUACCUUCUUUCUUUGCAUGUUUCACAAACCUAGCUGGUUGUGCAACAUACACUUCUUCAUCUAUUGGUCAUUCAGGAACGCAUAUUUCACAUCCAUCUGAUAUGUGUGCCAGUUGUUAGUGUUUUCUAGACCAACAACCAGCCUAAUUGUUUUAAUCCUAGCAACAGGUGCAAAAACUUCAUUGAAGUCGAUUCCUUCCUUCUGAAGAAAUCCUUUCGCCACAAGUCUUGCCUUGUGUCGAGUUACUUCACCUUUGGGAUUCAACUUCACCUUUGUAUACCCCACUUCACGCGAUUUCCUUCUUGCCUUGAGACAACUCGACAAGUGACCAUGUAUUAUUGUCUUAGAUGGACUUCAUUUCCUCAUUCAUUGCUUUCACCCAUAUGAAUCCUUCAAUGCCUCAGCUAUAUUGACUGGUUCAACAUCUGCUAGAAAGCAUAGUAUAUCAGUUCACCUUCGUCAUCAACCACAACACCUGAUGUAAUCACACAUUCUUGCAACCUUGCAGGCAUGUGUUUCUGUUCUUGGGAUGUGAGUUCUGGCUUGCUUGAGCCUCUCACUCUCUCUGUGUCGACCUUCCCUUUGACUUCGCUGCUAGUUCUUCAUAUAAGAUUCUCAGCCUGAAUUCUUCUUUACAUUGUCAGUCCAAUCCAUUCCUUAAGUCUCUCUAUGAUCAUGUCCCUUAUGAUCACUACUUGCUUGCUCCACUGGGUCGAAUAACUUGUAACCUCCAGUCGAAUGAUAGCCUAUUAGGAUGAUCUGACUGAACUUGUCAUCAAGUUUUCUCUCAAUUGAUCAGGCACAUUUCUAUAUGCUAUAGAUUCAAAUACCUUCAGAUGACUCAAGCUAGGCUUGACACUAAACCAAAAUUCUCUGGGGUGUAACUCCUUCUAGCCUUCUUUGUCGGACAUUUGUUCAAUAUGAUGUUGCAGUCGACACAACUUCUCCUCAUAAUUCUUGGGUAUAUACCUGCCUUUCAACAUACUUAUACACCAUGUUCAUGAUGGUUCAUUUUUCCUUUCUCCCUAUCCAUUCUACUGCGUAGUGUAGGGUGGAACCACCUUGUGCACAAUCUCUUCUUUCUCACAUAGUUUAUCAAAUUCUUUUGAUACAUACUCUCCAUCAUCAUCAGUCUCAGAAUAUUGAGCUUUCGACCAAUUGUCUUUUUGACCAUAGAUUUAAACUUGGCAAAUACCUUGAUCACUUCCACUUUUCUUCUUGAUCAGGUAAGUCCUUAUUUUUUUACUGAAAUCAUCUAUGAAUAGAACAACGUAUAUGUGUAACACCCAUUUUUCUACCCCAAAAUACUUAGCAAUAUAAUCAGAGUGAAUAAACACGCAUAUAAAUAAAAGGCGUCACAUCGACGUUUCAAAAACUAAAAGCUUUCAAAACCAAACAACUUUCAUCAUCAAUAUACAAUACACCUGGUCAUUUAAAAUAACACAUUUCAAUUAUCAUAAUAUUCAAGAAUAUGCGUUCGCAGCGGAAAAUAAUGAAAUACUCAUGUAUUUCAAAAAUAGAUUCAUGUCCCAUACCAUGACAUCUCUCAAUAAUCUCCUCAAGAUAAAAUAAAACCAUAUCCAGAAUAUUUGGCACUAUGGCCUCUCAACACAAAUUGCAAUUAAACAUGUUCACAUAAUAGUAAUAACGUAAACCUGUCCAAAUUAAGACAUAAGUUCAUACUACUAAUCUACCCGUGUUACAUGACCAGAGCAUUUGACUCAUUACCUAGUCUCUAAACUAAAACACGUAAACUCUCCGGCUAAAUCUCGAGUGAGCUACCGUCCACUUACUUCAGCAAUACUACUCUGGAGUAUCUGCACAAUACCCAUGUAAAGCAACAUUCAAACAGAAGGGUGAGAAUUCAAAUCAUUAUGAAGAAGUAUAUAAGGCACAAUGAUUAAAUCAACAAUUAAAGAGAUUCAUCACACUUCGUAUAACCAUGUAAAUAAUACUAACCAAAUUUAUUUCACAUGUUUCCAACAUCCAUCAAACGCAAGGAGUAUAAAUAUUAUCCAAUACUAUAUUCCCAAAUAUACACAUAACUACAAUUAUCACAUAAUCACAUAUUUUGUAAAUUAGGUAUCCAAAUACACCAAAUUCAAUUACCAUAUCUACUACACCCUUCACAAUCACAAUCAAUGCAUACACUCAAUUAUCACAUAACUCUAAUGUGACUUCGAUGCAAGACAUGUGACUCUAUGACUUGUACCGCAAUGUGAACCCAACGUUUCACCGUUUCCGAUCAAUAUCUAGAAUCCAAGCCACGCUUCCGAUCAAGAAAAGAUCAAAGCCACUACGUCUAUUCCAAUUAAGGUCAACGUCUGCUACGCCUAUUUCCAUUCAAGGAUCAACGUCUAUUACCAUGUGAACCCACAGUUUCAACCGCUUCCACCAUGAAGUCGACCAUGCCAUGAAUGAAUGUACAAAUACCACAUAUAUGCAAUUAAGAUCAUCUCUACCAUCUAAACAUUCCAAUAUCACCAUAAUUCAACUCUAUGAAUUAUCCAUCAAUGGUACAUAUACACAUUCAUAACAAUAUAUCAUUCACAAAUAUAGGCUAAUUAUCAAAUACGCACACUUAGAUUUCAUUUCAAACUGAAUACAACUUUUUAAGUCUCCAUUUUUCAUUUUUCAACAGUGUUAACCGGUUAACGCUUUCAGGUAACCGGUUAACGCGAAACAGAAUGCACUUCAUGACUGAUUUUCAACAGUGUUAACCGGUUAACGCUUUUGGGUAACCAGUUAACGCAAAACAGAAUGCAAUGCCUGUGCAGAUUUUUAACAAGUAACCGGUUAACGCUUUUGGUUAACCGAUUAACACCAAAACAGAAUGCAGAAUUUUCUGCGUUUUUCAUCGUUGGAGGCCUUUCAGACCUCCGAUAUCGAUUCCGUAAAAAGCCAAACGCUCAAAAAAUUAUAACUCAUACAAUACGCUAAGUAUAUAAAGUUACUUUGCAGUUUUAUAACAAUUAAAUCACCACAAAUCAAGAAUACUCACCAAAACCUAACAAUUCCAAAAACCAUGAAAUUUAGGGAUUUCAACGUAAACAUAUUUCUACCCAUUGACUCAAUCAUACUAACCCAUAAUAAUAAGGAUUCUCCCCCUUACCUCUUCGAUUUUUUGGAAACCUUAGCUUCUCUCUUGUUCUUCCCCUCUUCUCCUUACUUUUCCUCUUUUCUUUCUUUGUUGCCGUCAAAUGAUCAAAUGAAUCCUACUUCUCACUCUCCUACCUCUUACUAUUCUAGUAUUAUAUUUGGGCUUAAAGAAUGAUACCUCUAAUUUAAUUAAUAGGCCCAAUAAGACAUAGUAUCAUAAUAUCUCUAUUUAAUUCAAUUCAAUUAAACCAACACAGUAUACACACCAAGUUAAUUAAUAUAAUUAAUUAUUCAAUUAUAUCUCAUAUCAGCUAAAUAAUUAAUUAACACACCAAAUUAAUUAAUAUAAUCAAUUAUUAUACUACCUAAUAACCAAUUAAUUAAUUACCACUCUAAAUAAUUAAAAUAAAAUAUAAUAAUAAUAAUAUAAGGAAUAAAUACUAAAAUUGGGUUGUUACAACUCUCCCCCACUUAAAGAAUUUCGGCCUCGAAAAUUUACCUCAAACGAACAACUCCGAAUACGAUUCCUUCAUCUUAUCCUCGAGUUCCCAAGUAAUAUUGCCAUUGGCGGCUCCGCCCCAUAUCACUUUCACCAAAGCAAUCUCUUUACCACGAAGCUUCUUCACUUCUCGAUCCUCAAUUCGCAUAGGUGAUGUAUCGACCGUCAAUUAUCCUUCACUUGAACAUCAUUUAAUGGAACAACAUGCGAUGGAUCUGCAAUGUACCUCCUCAAUUGAGACACAUGGAACACAUCAUGAAGAUUAGAAAGUGUCGGUGGUAAUGCAAUCCGAUAUGCCACUUCACCUACCCUCUCGGAAAUCUGAUAAGGACCAAUGAAUCGCGACGUCAACUUACGCGACUUCAAAGCUUUACCAACACCCGUUAUUGGCGUAACUCGAAGAAACACAUGCUCAUCUUUCUCAAACUCAAAAGCUUUCCUCCUCUUAUCAUGAUAACUCUUUUGACGACUCUGAGAAGCCUUCAUCUUCUCUUGAAUCAUCUUAAUCUUAUCUGUAGUCUCUUGAAUCAACUCGGGUCCAACCACAACACUCUCUCCCAAUUCGUACCAACGCAAAGGAGUUCUACACCUUCUACCAUAAAGAGCCUCAAAAGGUGUCAUUCCAAUACUCGAAUGGAAACUGUUGUUAUACGUAAACUCGAUCAAAGGCAAGAACUAUCCCAAUUUCCCCCUUGUUCCAAAACACAAGACCUCAAAAGAUCUUCAAGUGACUGAAUAGUCCUCUCCGUUUGACCAUCAGUUUACGGAUGAUACGCCGAACUCAAACGCAACUUCGUACCCAAAGCACUUUGCAAACCUUCCCAAAAUCUCGAAGUGAACCUCAGAUCUCUAUCCGAAACAAACCAUGCACAACACACAAUCCUUUAGAUGUACAACUUAGCAAGUCUCUCCAUCGAUAAAUCCAUCCUUAUUGGAAUAAAUGAGCACAUUUCGUCAACCUGUCCACAACGACCCAAAUCGCCUCACAAUUACUCCGAUUCUCGGCAAACCCGAAACAAAAUCCAUAGAGAUACUAUCCCACUUCCACUCGGGAAUAGAUAACGGUUGCAUCAAACCAGACGACUUUUGAUGUUCAAUCUUUGACUUUUGACAAGUCAAACAUGAAUACAUAAAUUUCGCUACAUCUUUCUUCAUACCUUGCCACCAAAACAUCUUCCUCAAGUCUUGAUACAUUUUAGUAUGUGACUAUGCUAGCCUGAUAAUAAUAUAAGUUUCUUUUUAUUAUCAAUAAUAUAUAUAAAAUAUUAUGUGACUAUGCUAGCCUGAUAAUAAUAUAAUUUUCUUUUUAUUAUCAUUAAUAUAUAUAAAAUAAAUAAAAAUAAAAAUUUACUUUUUUUUAAUCUUAUCCUUAUCAACGUCGACAAAUAUGUCAACUAAAAUAAAUAUCAAAAACAUAUCUAAACUAAAACCGUAAAGUGAUCGAAAAAUAUAAAAAUCGCAUGAAACCGAAUAUUAGAAAAAGUCUUUAUAUCAUUUUUCGAAAAUUGCUAAGUUUUGAUUUUGAUUUGGGAUUGAUUUUUUUUAAAUUGAACUAAAUUGCAAAUAUAUAUUUCAAUAUUUUAUAUUUUUAAUAUUAGCAUGACAUAUUAUAUUUUAUUAUUCAUUAGUAUUCAAAUUUCUCAAUACAAUUAUUUGUUUAAACUAUUUUAUAUGUUUGAAACAUAUUUGAACAGACAUAUAUAUUUUUAACUGUUUUUAUUGAUAAUGAAGUUUAUUGCUUCUCCAAUAACACAAAGUUCUUACACAAUGUAAGUUCUAAAUAUUAUUAAAAGUGCAUCUUUUAUUUUUCAACAAUCACAGAGAUACAACAUAAAUUAUGAUUAUAUAAAACAACAACACUGCUGAUAUCCAAGUCGAAAAACACAUUGUCCACCUUUUUGAUAUCCUAUUUUGAUGCACUUUGUAGAACAAUUUGGAAUACAUCCACCUAUGCAACAAACUCCUCGUACUUCGUCACUCCCAAGAAGACACAUUACACUUUUGUCUAAUGUAGCACUUU
RNAcentral lists this long non-coding RNA (30476 nucleotides) under Lathyrus oleraceus (garden pea). RNAcentral's name for it is "Pisum sativum (pea) long non-coding RNA (PSAT_LNC036030)". The record is from RNAcentral. Lineage: Eukaryota; Viridiplantae; Streptophyta; Magnoliopsida; Fabales; Fabaceae.